This 435-nucleotide long non-coding RNA is filed under the name Elaeis guineensis (African oil palm). RNAcentral describes it as "long non-coding RNA (EGUI_LNC017130)". The record is from RNAcentral. Lineage: Eukaryota; Viridiplantae; Streptophyta; Magnoliopsida; Arecales; Arecaceae.
GAGACCACCACGAUGACUUGUAAGCAACUCACUAUACUGUAGUACUGGACUAUCUGAGUUUCUAACUUAGUGACAGAAGGAUACUAGGUGCAGUCAAGUACUUAUCAAGUCUGUGUGUGAGUCAAGAUGGAAUUGACCCCUCUGAAUUGAUAGGCAAUAUGCAUAAGUGUAUUUUAAUUUAGCAAAACCUUUGUCAGGAUAAUCCAUGAGAUGGAUUUGAAAGGUUGAAAUAUAAUAUGUUGGAGCACGAUCCCGGCUACUCCCACGGACCUUGGGUGCAGUGGAACCAGCAACGAAUAGAUCUGGAGACUUCUGGACUCGAUCCAAGGCCCUUGACGAAAUCAGCCUGGUUGUUGUCUUCUUCGUCAACCUUUCGUUCCAGAUGAAGAAUGCCUCUGAUCUCACCUCUAAAAAAUCCAAGAUCUAAUACCCAAC